GGCCCAACAGCCCAAUUCACAGUUUGUAUUCAACUAUAUAAAUGUCAGGCUUGUUUCAACCCCAUACCAAUGCAGAGAAAUCUAGGGUUUUGUCAAUUAGGGUUCCUCUCUCUACCGCUCGAUGAGGUUUUGUUGUACUUCUUCUAAUUUAUCUUCUGCAAAAUAGUGAAGAUUAUUGCGAUGAAGAACGAAAUUGAAGAUGAAAAUCAUCGAUUAUAGAGUGGUUACUUGAUAAUCCCUCUGUAAGAUGAAUAACUAUCUGAUUAGACUGCCGAAUCGUAGGACGCUCAAAUUUCAUUAGUUUUGGAUCGUCUUGAACCCUCGGCAACAUUUUUUUUCUUCCUGAUUUCACUGUUUUUGAUUUAGUGGAUUUGUUGAUCUUGUUUCGUCGGGAGUGGUUAGGCAGAAUCUGUUUUACUUAUCAGCAUCUUUCUUCCUUAAAUUUCCUCAAAAUCUAAUAUUAUAUGUAUAUCAAGAAUGCAGCAUUGAACCUUGUUUCUUCAAUAAGGAUCCUAAUGCAAACGUAGUUCUUCCAAAUUGAAACAUAAAAGUUCAUUAGUGGAGUGGAAAACUGGAAUUCUAUCUCUGUAAAUUUCUUCCCUCGCAGGUGGAAAUUAAAUAGUCCCAAUAUAGGAUGGGAUUGUCGGCCUUUCCCAUCCCUACCCUGUGGACAUCGUAGUAUGCUACAAAUUAUGAACAAACAUUGUGAAAGGAGUUAAUCCUCAUAAGUCUUAGGGAUCCCUCCCUCCUUAUCACGCCAGCCGGAGAAAAGGGAGAUCGAGAGCCUUCAACGCACACGCACAAUUAGGUUAUACCAGAAAGAUAUAUAGGACGGCGGCGGAUUUGGUAGCAGCAUCGGGAACCACCACAAACCGAUUUGGGACCUUAUCAUUUGCUUUCGAAAUCUAUACUACAAUUCUCUGGAACUUGCGAAGCUUUAGUGAGCUUGGGCUUUCUUUAGUGAGAUUAUUUCAAAUCCACCAUGAUUUGUGUAGUUGGUUAAUUUCGGUCCAGCACAAGAGAAUAAAAUAAUAGUUAAAUUUCAAAUUUGAUAA
Long non-coding RNA from Cucurbita maxima (winter squash), 1055 nucleotides. RefSeq lists it as uncharacterized. The transcript has 2 exons. NCBI's taxonomy places the organism in Eukaryota, Viridiplantae, Streptophyta, Magnoliopsida, Cucurbitales, Cucurbitaceae. The record is from RefSeq and is a predicted model, not a curated record.